This 856-nucleotide long non-coding RNA is filed under the name Struthio camelus australis. RNAcentral's name for it is "lncRNA (ENSSCUG00000015227.1)". Lineage: Eukaryota; Metazoa; Chordata; Aves; Struthioniformes; Struthionidae. The record is from RNAcentral.
CUAAUUUCUCUUUGCAUUCUGUAAUAUGCAAUUAACAUCGAGAAACGUCUAUAAAAUUAAAAUGUAAUUACCUUUUUCUUACAGGACUAACUUUGGUGCCUGAAAAGCUGUUUGCAUAUCCAGCAGACACUGAUUUCCAUUUGAACACCAUGCAGACCUGCUCAUUUGGCAGAGGAAGAGUCUUGCUGCAAAUGAGCUGACCUUCCUCUAUAAUCCAGCAUGUUCUCUAGAGGCAUUAUGAAGACAACAGAGAGAAACAAAGUGUCAAACUUCAAUACUGCUGGCUAUUGGGAAAGGUUUAACAGAGGAGUUCAAUAUUUGCUGAUUCCAAGUACAGCACACUGGACUAGUUGGAUCUUUCAUCUGACGUUUUAUGGUUAGUCUUAUAUUCUUGUUGAAACUUUUUAAACCUAAAGCUGUUGUCUCUUUGUGUGAACCUCGUAACUGAUCCUCCUCAUUGCAAAUCUUCCCCUUUACCUCUCAAGAGAUAUCAGUAGGGUUCAUAGAUGUGGUCACUGAGUCCAUGUGGUCCAUAAAGCAGUGAGAGACCUUUUUUUGCUGAAUGGUCUCUCUUAAAAGGGAGGAGUUGUAGGUCAAAUUCUGAUUUUGGAGGAUAUCUGUAAUUGUUUAAGGUAGGGAUAUUAAACUCAGCUCAAGGCUAAAGAUGUUUUACUGCAAUAGCAUCCAGCCUGGUAUGCAAAAGUAUCAAAGCCCUAGCUAAUUCCAGGCACCGGUGAGGGUACUGAAAACAGGAACACCAAGGAAGCACAGGCAGCAUCCUGCUUUUCAGCAGAAAGUUUCCGUCGUUAGUACCUGCUCUCAUAUACCCUUGCCUUUGCCUUUGCACAUAUUUUGG